Long non-coding RNA from Zophobas morio, 305 nucleotides. RefSeq lists it as uncharacterized. The transcript is spliced from 3 exons. Lineage: Eukaryota; Metazoa; Arthropoda; Insecta; Coleoptera; Tenebrionidae. The record is from RefSeq and is a predicted model, not a curated record.
GGGAUUACGCUCAAGCCCAAACUUUUAUAACUCAGCGUUAUACUUAUAAGAGCCCUCUUUCAGCAACUACUCGCGGGAUUAUUAUCGAUUUUUAUCUCCUUCAAAACAAACUGGACGAAGCCUUAAGUACACUUAAAAGUUAUAGUCACGAUAAUGCUGUGCGUCAGCUUCAUAUAGGAACGUUUGCUCGCGUAAUGCGUGAAUUAGUUAAAAAUAAUAGACCUUUUGAAGCUCUUGAGCUUUAUAAAAUGCUGAAAGAGGAUGAUAUAUCAACCCCUAAAAAAGCAAUUUCUUUUGUGAAUUCA